Molecule: ribosomal RNA, 459 nt
Filed under: uncultured bacterium
Lineage: Bacteria
Description: partial 16S ribosomal RNA
Rfam family: Bacterial small subunit ribosomal RNA
Source: RNAcentral
CCUACGGGAGGCUGCAGUGAGGAAUAUUGGUCAAUGGGCGAGAGCCUGAACCAGCCAAGUCGCGUGAGGGAGUACUGCCCUAUGGGUUGUAAACCUCUUUUGUCGGGGAGCAAAAGCCGGACGUGUCCGGCUGUGAGAGUACCCGAAGAAAAAGCAUCGGCUAACUCCGUGCCAGCAGCCGCGGUAAUACGGAGGAUGCGAGCGUUAUCCGGAUUUAUUGGGUUUAAAGGGUGCGCAGGCGGUUAAACAAGUUAUAUGUUAAAUAUAUAGGCUUAACCUGUAGAAAGCAUAUAAAACUGUUUAACUAGAGUGCAGGAGAGGUAAGUGGAAUUCCUAGUGUAGCGGUGAAAUGCGUAGAGAUUAGGAAGAACACCAGUGGCGAAGGCGACUUACUGGACUGUAACUGACGCUGAGGCAUGAGAGCAUGGGGAGCAAACAGGAUUAGAUACCCUAGUAGUC